Molecule: long non-coding RNA, 753 nt
Filed under: Elaeis guineensis (African oil palm)
Lineage: Eukaryota; Viridiplantae; Streptophyta; Magnoliopsida; Arecales; Arecaceae
Description: long non-coding RNA (EGUI_LNC011167)
Source: RNAcentral
CAGUUACCAAGUCUUAAAACAAUUUCAGAUGAGUAAUUUCUCAUCACAGCCCCUCCUUGUUCUCUGGGGCCCAAAGGCAGGUCAAAGGAAAAAGAGGCCGCCUUUCUAAAAAGGUAAAGUAGGAUUCAUCCAUUCAAAUGUCAAAUCCUUAUCCUUCCCACUCAUCAUUCCACAUCUUGCAAUUAUUUUAGUGGAAUACCAACCCCACACGCUUAUCUCCACGCAUGCCUGAUUCCCAUACCAUCCCACCCCAUUCCCAACCUGGGAUGGAUUUCUAGGAGCGUUGGAGAACGGUCUGCCCCUUAAAAAACUAGCAGUCUCGAACUUUAGGGAUUUGGGGGUGUUAUUAUUGCAAUUAUCGAUCUCCAUGCCUCUGAGCAAAUGGUGUGUGGCACAUGGAUCUAGCGUUAUAAACUCCUGUCAAUCAAAUGAGAACGGGCUCGCUUUUGUUGAUAGUCAUCUGAAUUUUCUAGUACAUAUUAUGUCUCUUAACACAUGUAGACUAAUAUUUUUAAGUAACAAAUAAUGGUCUGAUCACAAUCAUCGAGGGCCAUUCGACCUAUAUGCUGUCUCGAAGACCAUGCAAGAAUCUUUUGGAAUGCUUGUUGGAUCCUGUCUAAUUUGGGUCCCCUUUCGAGAAGCCAACCGAUGGUCAAUUGGCCACCGGCAACAUCAGAAGCCAACCAACGGUGUCCAAGCCACCGCCAAAAGAGUUUUCAAAAGGUGUGCUCGAGAAGUAACCGAGUUCAUCGC